UGGGCAAAUCCCGGGGCCCUUACCAUGCAAGUCGAGGGGCAGCAUGAGGUUUGCUUGCAAACCUUGAUGGCGACCGGCGCACGGGUGAGUAACGCGUAUCCAACCUUCCCAUAACCGGAGAAUAACCUGCCGAAAGGUAGACUAAUACUCCAUGGUUUCCGCUGAUGGCAUCAGAUGUGGAAUAAAGAUUUUUUUUGGUUAUGGGUGGGGAUGCGUCUGAUUAGCUUGUUGGCGGGGUAACGGCCCACCAAGGCGACGAUCAGUAGGGGUUCUGAGAGGAAGGUCCCCCACAUUGGAACUGAGACACGGUCCAAACUCCUACGGGAGGCAGCAGUGAGGAAUAUUGGUCAAUGGGCGAAAGCCUGAACCAGCCAAGUAGCGUGCAGGAUGACGGCCCUAUGGGUUGUAAACUGCUUUUAUGCGGGGAUAAAGUUAGUCACGUGUGACUAUUUGCAGGUACCGCAUGAAUAAGGACCGGCUAAUUCCGUGCCAGCAGCCGCGGUAAUACGGAAGGUCCCGGCGUUAUCCGGAUUUAUUGGGUUUAAAGGGAGCGUAGGCCGUGGAUUAAGCGUGUUGUGAAAUGUAGACGCUCAACGUCUGACUUGCAGCGCGAACUGGUUCACUUGAGUGUGCGCAACGCAGGCGGAAUUCGUGGUGUAGCGGUGAAAUGCUUAGAUAUCACGAAGAACUCCGAUUGCGAAGGCAGCUUGCGGGAGCACAACUGACGCUGAAGCUCGAAAGUGCGGGUAUCAAACAGGAUUAGAUACCCUGGUAGUCCGCACGGUAAACGAUGGAUGCCCGCUCUUCGUUCUUUUGAAUGAGGGACCAAGCGAAAGCAUUAAGCAUCCCACCUGGGGAGUACGCCGGCAACGGUGAAACUCAAAGGAAUUGGCGGGGGCCCGCACAAGCGGAGGAACAUGUGGUUUAAUUCGAUGAUACGCGAGGAACCUUACCCGGGCUUGAAUUGCAGGAGAAGAAUACAGGGAUGUUGACGUCCUUCGGGA
This 1004-nucleotide ribosomal RNA is filed under the name uncultured bacterium. Its description in RNAcentral is "bacterial SSU rRNA". It matches the Rfam family "Bacterial small subunit ribosomal RNA", at positions 26 to 1025 of the family's 1533-position model. The record is from RNAcentral.